GGAAUACCGGCAAAAACCGCUCUAAGCCGGCUGAGUUCAUCAAGAUUCAUUUACUCGAAAUCGAAAAACGAGAUGCACAAAAUGCGAUCCGCUUAAUAGGCAACCGCCGAUUAAAUGAACCAGCCAGAUGUUCUAUCUAUACAUUCACAUUUGUGACGUGUACAGCUGAUGAUGAUGCUAAGCAGUUUAAAUCAAAUUAUCAGCAUGAAAAGAUCUCAAAUUAAAUUGUUUUGGUUGGAAUAACCAAAAUUGGCAAAUUACAGGCAAAGUUGCAUUCAAGCGAAAAAGAUCGCUCUCGCCGAAUAGAAGUUGAUAAUAUUUUCGGGGUGUGUGUCAUCGUGUUCUUUCGGUUUAACCUCCACCUCCCUUUGUUGAGGUCACCAGUCAAAAUAUUGCGUAUUCGCAGCGUUGACGUGACGCCAUUGUGGCUGGCAGAACGAUAACGAAACUGGGCCCAAACUCAAGGGAAUUCCACGGAAGAACGCCAAGGAAAUGAAUGAAAAUCAACUUUCAAUUUUGGAGGUUAUAGACUGAUCCGCAACUUUGUCAGUUGCACAACACGUGGUAGACCGAAGCUCACCUGAGAAAAUCCAGGUUAUUCAUAAUAACCCAAGGGAAGACGAUAAGAACAGCUCGCAGUCAAAGUAGGGAAAAUGGAAACAACGAGGCAGUAGAAGGGAAAUCAAAACGCUGAUGUGUGGGGUCAAUGAAAUUGAAAUGCAAUUGUCAGAAGCUUUCCGAUGUAGGGGGAACUCGAAAGGUAAGCUAUAGGCAAAGCCAAACAAAAGCUUGGACCGAUCGAAAAAAGCGGGAGAGAUACGAGCAAGAGAGAGAGAGAGACCGAGAGAGAGAGAGGAGAGACCAAAACCGGCACAACCAAACAAAGAGCCGAAGCGACAAGAAAACGAGCGACAGCAGCAGCAGCAGCAACAGCACGACAGCAACAGCAACACAUCGCUGCCCAUCAGCAACAUCGUCGACAAACACGAGGAAAGGUUCGAAUUCGACUGGCUCAGUGUGACAGCGAACGCCGUACCUGUUGUGUGUGUGUUUCCACAACUUCUGGACUUUUUCCGAGUGCUGUGUGUUAUGGCAGCAGGUCCAAACCCUGAGUCAAAACAAAGAGCUCUGUGAGAAGUCCUGCAUCGCAAGCGAUAGCAACAGUUGGCAGAUCGAAAAAGGAGGACUCCGCAGCAAAAUGUUCGAAGUCGCCUGCCUGAUGUUCAUCUUCCCCGGGAUCUUCAUCCUGCUGCUCAUGCUCGUUGCCAUGACUGUAAUCUAGUUGGAAGUAUGUAAAACAAACGGCGGAACGGGCACACAAAUUGCGAAACAUCAGCUGGCAGUGUGCCCAAAUAAUCAGCGGAAAUUACCGAAAGAUUCCUCUUGCGACGCCCAAACAUAUUCCUAUUAAAAUGUGCUUGAUUUGUUGUUUUCAUUACCCCCAUUAUUUGCUUGUUGACCACACUGAAGUGUAAUGUGAUUUAAUUGUAUUUUAAAGAUUGUAUUAUGUAAGAAAUCGUACCUUUUAUAUAUAUAUAGUUUUAAUUAGGCUUUAAGUUUGAAAAUAAACUUUGAAAUCAUCUGAGAA
Molecule: non-coding RNA, 1588 nt
Organism: Drosophila suzukii
Lineage: Eukaryota; Metazoa; Arthropoda; Insecta; Diptera; Drosophilidae
Source: RefSeq, a predicted model, not a curated record